Molecule: ribosomal RNA, 517 nt
Filed under: uncultured bacterium
Lineage: Bacteria
Description: bacterial SSU rRNA
Rfam family: Bacterial small subunit ribosomal RNA
Source: RNAcentral
UGCCUAAGACAUGCAAGUCGAACGAAGUAGCCUGAUGAAGAUGGAGUGCUUGCACAAAGUCGGAUUCAGAUUUCUACUUAGUGGCAGACGGGUGAGUAACACGUGGGUAACCUACCUCAGAGACUGGGAUAACAAUUAGAAAUGAUUGCUAAUACCGGAUGAUUCAUAAUUAGAUAACUAGUUAUGCUAAAAGAAGCGUUUGCUUCACUUUUGAGAUGGGCUUGCGUUGUAUUAGUUAGUUGGUGGGGUAAUGGCCUACCAAGACAACGAUGCAUAUCCGAGCUGAGAGGCUGAUCGGACACACUGGGACUGAGACACGGCCCAGACUCCUACGGGAGACAGCAGUUAGGAAUAUUCGUCAAUGGGGGAAACCCUGAACGAGCAAUGCCGCGUGAAGUGAUGAAGGUCUUAUAGAUUGUAAAACUCUGUUGUAAAGAAAGAAACCUUAAGAUAGGAAAUGAUCUUAAGCUGACGGUACUUUACCAGAAAGCCCGGCUAACUACGUGCCAGCAGCGGC